Molecule: ribosomal RNA, 2922 nt
Filed under: Staphylococcus aureus
Lineage: Bacteria; Bacillati; Bacillota; Bacilli; Caryophanales; Staphylococcaceae
Description: bacterial LSU rRNA
Rfam family: Bacterial large subunit ribosomal RNA
Source: RNAcentral
UUAAGUUAUUAAGGGCGCACGGUGGAUGCCUUGGCACUAGAAGCCGAUGAAGGACGUUACUAACGACGAUAUGCUUUGGGGAGCUGUAAGUAAGCUUUGAUCCAGAGAUUUCCGAAUGGGGAAACCCAGCAUGAGUUAUGUCAUGUUAUCGAUAUGUGAAUACAUAGCAUAUCAGAAGGCACACCCGGAGAACUGAAACAUCUUAGUACCCGGAGGAAGAGAAAGAAAAUUCGAUUCCCUUAGUAGCGGCGAGCGAAACGGGAAGAGCCCAAACCAACAAGCUUGCUUGUUGGGGUUGUAGGACACUCUAUACGGAGUUACAAAGGACGACAUUAGACGAAUCAUCUGGAAAGAUGAAUCAAAGAAGGUAAUAAUCCUGUAGUCGAAAAUGUUGUCUCUCUUGAGUGGAUCCUGAGUACGACGGAGCACGUGAAAUUCCGUCGGAAUCUGGGAGGACCAUCUCCUAAGGCUAAAUACUCUCUAGUGACCGAUAGUGAACCAGUACCGUGAGGGAAAGGUGAAAAGCACCCCGGAAGGGGAGUGAAAUAGAACCUGAAACCGUGUGCUUACAAGUAGUCAGAGCCCGUUAAUGGGUGAUGGCGUGCCUUUUGUAGAAUGAACCGGCGAGUUACGAUUUGAUGCAAGGUUAAGCAGUAAAUGUGGAGCCGUAGCGAAAGCGAGUCUGAAUAGGGCGUUUAGUAUUUGGUCGUAGACCCGAAACCAGGUGAUCUACCCUUGGUCAGGUUGAAGUUCAGGUAACACUGAAUGGAGGACCGAACCGACUUACGUUGAAAAGUGAGCGGAUGAACUGAGGGUAGCGGAGAAAUUCCAAUCGAACCUGGAGAUAGCUGGUUCUCUCCGAAAUAGCUUUAGGGCUAGCCUCAAGUGAUGAUUAUUGGAGGUAGAGCACUGUUUGGACGAGGGGCCCCUCUCGGGUUACCGAAUUCAGACAAACUCCGAAUGCCAAUUAAUUUAACUUGGGAGUCAGAACAUGGGUGAUAAGGUCCGUGUUCGAAAGGGAAACAGCCCAGACCACCAGCUAAGGUCCCAAAAUAUAUGUUAAGUGGAAAAGGAUGUGGCGUUGCCCAGACAACUAGGAUGUUGGCUUAGAAGCAGCCAUCAUUUAAAGAGUGCGUAAUAGCUCACUAGUCGAGUGACACUGCGCCGAAAAUGUACCGGGGCUAAACAUAUUACCGAAGCUGUGGAUUGUCCUUUGGACAAUGGUAGGAGAGCGUUCUAAGGGCGUUGAAGCAUGAUCGUAAGAACAUGUGGAGCGCUUAGAAGUGAGAAUGCCGGUGUGAGUAGCGAAAGACGGGUGAGAAUCCCGUCCACCGAUUGACUAAGGUUUCCAGAGGAAGGCUCGUCCGCUCUGGGUUAGUCGGGUCCUAAGCUGAGGCCGACAGGCGUAGGCGAUGGAUAACAGGUUGAUAUUCCUGUACCACCUAUAAUCGUUUUAAUCGAUGGGGGGGACGCAGUAGGAUAGGCGAAGCGUGCGAUUGGAUUGCACGUCUAAGCAGUAAGGCUGAGUAUUAGGCAAAUCCGGUACUCGUUAAGGCUGAGCUGUGAUGGGGAGAAGACAUUGUGUCUUCGAGUCGUUGAUUUCACACUGCCGAGAAAAGCCUCUAGAUAGAAAAUAGGUGCCCGUACCGCAAACCGACACAGGUAGUCAAGAUGAGAAUUCUAAGGUGAGCGAGCGAACUCUCGUUAAGGAACUCGGCAAAAUGACCCCGUAACUUCGGGAGAAGGGGUGCUCUUUAGGGUUAACGCCCAGAAGAGCCGCAGUGAAUAGGCCCAAGCGACUGUUUAUCAAAAACACAGGUCUCUGCUAAACCGUAAGGUGAUGUAUAGGGGCUGACGCCUGCCCGGUGCUGGAAGGUUAAGAGGAGUGGUUAGCUUCUGCGAAGCUACGAAUCGAAGCCCCAGUAAACGGCGGCCGUAACUAUAACGGUCCUAAGGUAGCGAAAUUCCUUGUCGGGUAAGUUCCGACCCGCACGAAAGGCGUAACGAUUUGGGCACUGUCUCAACGAGAGACUCGGUGAAAUCAUAGUACCUGUGAAGAUGCAGGUUACCCGCGACAGGACGGAAAGACCCCGUGGAGCUUUACUGUAGCCUGAUAUUGAAAUUCGGCACAGCUUGUACAGGAUAGGUAGGAGCCUUUGAAACGUGAGCGCUAGCUUACGUGGAGGCGCUGGUGGGAUACUACCCUAGCUGUGUUGGCUUUCUAACCCGCACCACUUAUCGUGGUGGGAGACAGUGUCAGGCGGGCAGUUUGACUGGGGCGGUCGCCUCCUAAAAGGUAACGGAGGCGCUCAAAGGUUCCCUCAGAAUGGUUGGAAAUCAUUCAUAGAGUGUAAAGGCAUAAGGGAGCUUGACUGCGAGACCUACAAGUCGAGCAGGGUCGAAAGACGGACUUAGUGAUCCGGUGGUUCCGCAUGGAAGGGCCAUCGCUCAACGGAUAAAAGCUACCCCGGGGAUAACAGGCUUAUCUCCCCCAAGAGUUCACAUCGACGGGGAGGUUUGGCACCUCGAUGUCGGCUCAUCGCAUCCUGGGGCUGUAGUCGGUCCCAAGGGUUGGGCUGUUCGCCCAUUAAAGCGGUACGCGAGCUGGGUUCAGAACGUCGUGAGACAGUUCGGUCCCUAUCCGUCGUGGGCGUAGGAAAUUUGAGAGGAGCUGUCCUUAGUACGAGAGGACCGGGAUGGACAUACCUCUGGUGUACCAGUUGUCGUGCCAACGGCAUAGCUGGGUAGCUAUGUGUGGACGGGAUAAGUGCUGAAAGCAUCUAAGCAUGAAGCCCCCCUCAAGAUGAGAUUUCCCAACUUCGGUUAUAAGAUCCCUCAAAGAUGAUGAGGUUAAUAGGUUCGAGGUGGAAGCAUGGUGACAUGUGGAGCUGACGAAUACUAAUCGAUCGAAGACUUAAUCAA